This 72-nucleotide transfer RNA is filed under the name Salmo salar (Atlantic salmon). It matches the Rfam family "tRNA". From Rfam's summary of the family: Transfer RNA (tRNA) molecules are approximately 80 nucleotides in length. Their secondary structure includes four short double-helical elements and three loops (D, anti-codon, and T loops). Further hydrogen bonds mediate the characteristic L-shaped molecular structure. tRNAs have two regions of fundamental functional importance: the anti-codon, which is responsible for specific mRNA codon recognition, and the 3' end, to which the tRNAs corresponding amino acid is attached (by aminoacyl-tRNA synthetases). tRNAs cope with the degeneracy of the genetic code in two manners: having more than one tRNA (with a specific anti-codon) for a particular amino acid; and 'wobble' base-pairing, i.e. permitting non-standard base-pairing at the 3rd anti-codon position. Lineage: Eukaryota; Metazoa; Chordata; Actinopteri; Salmoniformes; Salmonidae. The record is from Rfam by way of RNAcentral.
GGCUCGUUGGUCUAGGGGUAUGAUUCUCCCUUUGGGUGUGAGCAGUCCCGGGUUCAAAUCCCAUAUGAGCCC